GAUGAACGCUAGCGGCAGGCUUAACACAUGCAAGUCGAGGGGUAACAGGGAAGCUUGCUUUCCGCUGACGACCGGCGCACGGGUGCGUAACGCGUAUACAAUUUGCCUUAUACAGGGGGAUAGCCUUUAGAAAUGAAGAUUAAUACCCCAUGGUAUUAUAGAGUGGCAUCGCUUUAUAAUUAAAGAUUUAUCGGUAUAAGAUGAGUAUGCGUCCUAUUAGCUAGAUGGUAAGGUAACGGCUUACCAUGGCGACGAUAGGUAGGGGUCCUGAGAGGGAGAUCCCCCACACUGGUACUGAGACACGGACCAGACUCCUACGGGAGGCAGCAGUGAGGAAUAUUGGACAAUGGAGGAAACUCUGAUCCAGCCAUGCCGCGUGCAGGAAGACUG
Molecule: ribosomal RNA, 390 nt
Filed under: uncultured bacterium
Lineage: Bacteria
Description: bacterial SSU rRNA
Rfam family: Bacterial small subunit ribosomal RNA
Source: RNAcentral